GAAUUAUGAUAUUAUUAUUUGGGGAUAUUAUGCAUGAUUUUAGGAGUUUUAUUUGUUUUUAGGAUUGUAUUAUUGCACAUGUAUGUAUUCCAGU
This is a long non-coding RNA of Ipomoea nil (Japanese morning glory), 94 nucleotides long. RefSeq lists it as uncharacterized. The transcript is spliced from 3 exons. The record is from RefSeq and is a predicted model, not a curated record. Lineage: Eukaryota; Viridiplantae; Streptophyta; Magnoliopsida; Solanales; Convolvulaceae.